GCAUUUGCAUAUAUUCUGUGGACAGCCAUCUAACUGUAUAUGCUUACCUGAUUAUUAUUUUAUUAUGCAAAAGAGAAAAAUAAUUGCAAGGGAUUGUGGGGUUUAUAAUCCCGUAUUUCUUAGUAGCAAUUACUACUACUGGUCUAUGCUAAGUUUGUAUGCUAAUGGGUCAUCUAAUAUUUAGCAGGUCAUGCAGAAUCAAGA
Molecule: unclassified non-coding RNA, 204 nt
Filed under: Hevea brasiliensis (rubber tree)
Lineage: Eukaryota; Viridiplantae; Streptophyta; Magnoliopsida; Malpighiales; Euphorbiaceae
Source: RNAcentral